This 289-nucleotide ribosomal RNA is filed under the name uncultured Flectobacillus sp. Its description in RNAcentral is "partial 16S ribosomal RNA". Lineage: Bacteria; Pseudomonadati; Bacteroidota; Cytophagia; Cytophagales; Flectobacillaceae. The record is from RNAcentral.
CUACCGGGGUAUCUAAUCCUGUUUGAUCCCCACACUUUCGUGCAUCAGCGUCAGUAUCGUAUUAGUAACCUGCCUACGCAAUUGGAGUUCUGGAUAAUAUCUAUGCAUUUCACCGCUACACUAUCCAUUCCAGCUACCUCAUACGAACUCAAGUCUACCAGUAUCAAUGGCACUGCAAUCGUUGAGCGACCGUCUUUCACCACUGACUUAAUAAACCGCCUACGCACCCUUUAAACCCAAUAAAUCCGGACAACGCUCGCACCCUCCGUAUUACCGCGGCUGCUGGCAC